ACGAGCGCAACCCUUAUCCUUUGUUGCCAGCGGUCCGGCCGGGAACUCAAAGGAGACUGCCAGUGAUAAACUGGAGGAAGGUGGGGAUGACGUCAAGUCAUCAUGGCCCUUACGACCAGGGCUACACACGUGCUACAAUGGCAUAUACAAAGAGAAGCGACCUCGCGAGAGCAAGCGGACCUCAUAAAGUAUGUCGUAGUCCGGAUUGGAGUCUGCAACUCGACUCCAUGAAGUCGGAAUCGCUAGUAAUCGUAGAUCAGAAUGCUACGGUGAAUACGUUCCCGGGCCUUGUACACACCGCCCGUCACACCAUGGGAGUGGGUUGCAAAAGAAGUAGGUAGCUUAACCUUCGGGAGGGCGCUUACCACUUUGUGAUUCAUGACUGGGGUGAAGUCGUAACAAGGUAACCGUAGGGGAA
RNAcentral lists this ribosomal RNA (418 nucleotides) under Klebsiella pneumoniae. Its description in RNAcentral is "bacterial SSU rRNA". It matches the Rfam family "Bacterial small subunit ribosomal RNA", at positions 1092 to 1510 of the family's 1533-position model. Lineage: Bacteria; Pseudomonadati; Pseudomonadota; Gammaproteobacteria; Enterobacterales; Enterobacteriaceae. The record is from RNAcentral.